Molecule: unclassified non-coding RNA, 1759 nt
Filed under: Hevea brasiliensis (rubber tree)
Lineage: Eukaryota; Viridiplantae; Streptophyta; Magnoliopsida; Malpighiales; Euphorbiaceae
Source: RNAcentral
UAAAAUGUUUGACCAUUUUCCAUAAAUAAAAUAGCAAAUGAAACACUAAAAUAAAAUAUUUUAGUAUUGUCACUUCCAUAUUGUUAGGUAGAUAAAGCCAAAUGCAACAAGCUUGGGAAAAUGAGGAUGCAGAAUAUAGUGGUACCACAAGUAUUACUCCUAAAAUGAACCUUGCUUACAAUAACAGAGUAUAUUUGACAUGCCUGAACCCAAACGCUGCAUCUGUUUCUCAUCUCAAAGAUGAGAUAAAUUGGAAGACUCUGCAGUCCGACAUAUUUAUACUGAAAGUUGAUAUAUCUUACCCUACUUCACCUACAACAUCAACAAACUAAGAGAAAAUAACUGGCAACUGAUUGCAUGCUUCAGAAACAGAAAAUCAAUUAAUCAUCGGUAGGGCCAUGUGAAGCUUUAGGGAUGGUGCUUUCUGGAGGGAACAGUAAAGGAUCUUGCUGUUGCUCAUAUGUAUCACAUAUACUCAAAACUCCUUUAUCUUCAUUGCUGGCUUUCACAGGAAAUAGUGAGAGGUAUAUCAGAAAUUGUCACCCACAUACAAAAACUGCACCAAGGAUGAUGAGACAACCUACAGGACCUAGUAGUCUCUUUUGUUAGGGCAUUCAGAUGCUCGGUGACCACUGCGCCCACAAUUGAAACAUGCACCACCAAAGCUUCUGUCUCUGCUUCCUCCAGAAAAAGACCUGCUAGAGCGCUUAUCCCUAUCACCACUGAUCAGCCAAUCACUUCCUCCCCUUCUUGUCCGGCCACCUCGCGACCUAGAGUCAUUCCCCCAAUUAUCAUCAUCAUUAUCAGAGUAACGGCCACUAGAAGAACCCUGGGAAUAUCUGCCUCUACGGUCUCUUAAACCUCCUCGUGUCCCCCUAGUAUCCCUGCUUGAAAACCUCCCAUAGAAAUCACCAGCUGGCCCAUCGUCUUGUAAAGCAGGUAACUUGGUAAUCUUGGAAAUAGUAUUUCCAGGAGGUAAUUCCUGAUUUAGUAGAUCUGCAGCAGUCUCCUCAGGAAGAUCAAAGAUGGCCCCCUGAACCCUUUCAUCUGCAAUUAGGUGAAUUUUGCCAACUUCAUCAGCAGCUGGUGAAUAGACAUCAGAGAGGAAACCAGUAACAGAUCUUGCCGACAGGAAUCCUCGGGAAGUUUCAGAAUCACGUGUCAGCUGUAAUGUAGUCCACCCCUGUUCAUGAGUUAUUAGAGAUCGAGAAGAUGGCGGUUUGGAAAAUCCACCCAAAAGAGCAAGUGCAGCAGCAAGGGAAUUCACUCCUUGUUGCUCCAUCAACUGUUGCGCAGUUGGAAUGAAGUACUCAACAGAUUCGGGAUGAACUCCAUUAAGUGCAGCCACCACAUGUUCAGCUGAUGACUCUAAAACCUCUUUGACAGAUGGAGGACUAACGAAUUCAAACUUGCACCCAACAUCACGUUCGAGAGAUCUGACAGUUCGCCUUUGACUACCUGUGUACAUCAGAAUAGCAAUGCCUUCUUUUCCAGCACGGCCAGUUCGACCAGAGCGAUGAACAAAAGUUUCUGGAUCGUUGGGUAAUUCAUAAUGGAUUACUAAGUCAACAUUAGGUAUAUCAAGACCACGAGAUGCAACGUCAGUCGCAACAAGCACAGUGAAUUUUCCUUGCCUAAAUCCAUUUAGUGUUCUUUCCCUCUGAUGUUGAGAAAUGUCACCAUGCAAUGCCUCAGAAGAAAUGCUAUUUGAUAAUGCCAUUGAAACCUCAUCAGCAUCUCGUUUUGUCUGUGUAAAAAC